GGGUCAGUAGGUCGGUCGUGCCACCGGUACGUACUGGUCUCACUGAUUCCUCCUUCCUGAAGAACCGUAAUGCCAUUAAUUUGGUGUUGCGGGGAAACAGGACUGUUACUUUGAAAAAAUUAGAGUGUUUAAAGCAAGCUAACGCUUGAAUACAUUAGCAUGGAAUAAUGAAAUAGGACGAUCGAUCCUAUUUUGUUGGUUCCUAGGAUUGACGUA
RNAcentral lists this ribosomal RNA (216 nucleotides) under Glomeromycotina sp. RNAcentral describes it as "partial small subunit ribosomal RNA". The stretch from base 40 to 216 matches the Rfam family "Eukaryotic small subunit ribosomal RNA", at positions 686 to 864 of the family's 1831-position model. Lineage: Eukaryota; Fungi; Glomeromycota. The record is from RNAcentral.